GAGUUUGAUCGUGGCUCAGAUUGAACGCUGGCGGCAUGCCUUACACAUGCAAGUCGAACGGCAGCGCGGGAGCAAUCCUGGCGGCGAGUGGCGAACGGGUGAGUAAUACAUCGGAACGUGCCCAAUCGUGGGGGAUAACGCAGCGAAAGCUGUGCUAAUACCGCAUACGAUCUACGGAUGAAAGCAGGGGAUCGCAAGACCUUGCGCGAAUGGAGCGGCCGAUGGCAGAUUAGGUAGUUGGUGGGGUAAAGGCUCACCAAGCCGACGAUCUGUAGCUGGUCUGAGAGGACGACCAGCCACACUGGGACUGAGACACGGCCCAGACUCCUACGGGAGGCAGCAGUGGGGAAUUUUGGACAAUGGGCGCAAGCCUGAUCCAGCCAUGCCGCGUGCAGGAUGAAGGCCUUC
This 408-nucleotide ribosomal RNA is filed under the name uncultured beta proteobacterium. RNAcentral's name for it is "bacterial SSU rRNA". It matches the Rfam family "Bacterial small subunit ribosomal RNA", at positions 9 to 419 of the family's 1533-position model. The record is from RNAcentral. Lineage: Bacteria; Pseudomonadati; Pseudomonadota; Betaproteobacteria.